Long non-coding RNA from Sander lucioperca (pikeperch), 99 nucleotides. RefSeq lists it as uncharacterized. The transcript has 3 exons. Lineage: Eukaryota; Metazoa; Chordata; Actinopteri; Perciformes; Percidae. The record is from RefSeq and is a predicted model, not a curated record.
AUUUUUAAAAUAAGGGAAAAUUAUCGGAUUCCAGCUUCUUAAAUGUGACUAUUUUAUUGUUUCUUCACUCCUGUGUGACAGUAUACUGAUUAUCUUUGA